Molecule: non-coding RNA, 75 nt
Organism: Trichonephila inaurata madagascariensis
Lineage: Eukaryota; Metazoa; Arthropoda; Arachnida; Araneae; Nephilidae
Source: the annotation of a GenBank genome assembly
GGGAGAGUUAUAGCUCAGUGGUUGAGCAUUCGACUGCUGAUCGAGAGGUCCUCGAUUCAAACUGGGGUGCCCCCU